GUCUCCUUAGCUCAGUUGGUAGAGCAAGGGACUUUUAAUCCUUGGGUCCAGGGUUCGAGCCCUGAGGAGACA
RNAcentral lists this transfer RNA (72 nucleotides) under Weissella ceti. Its description in RNAcentral is "tRNA-Lys (TTT) (tRNA-Lys-TTT-2-1)". It matches the Rfam family "tRNA". From Rfam's summary of the family: Transfer RNA (tRNA) molecules are approximately 80 nucleotides in length. Their secondary structure includes four short double-helical elements and three loops (D, anti-codon, and T loops). The record is from RNAcentral. Lineage: Bacteria; Bacillati; Bacillota; Bacilli; Lactobacillales; Lactobacillaceae.